AGGUGAAAAGCACCCCGGAAGGGGAGUGAAAGAGAUCCUGAAACCGUGUGCCUACAAAUAGUCAGAGCCCGUUAAUGGGUGAUGGCGUGCCUUUUGUAGAAUGAACCGGCGAGUUACGAUCCCGUGCAAGGUUAAGUUGAAGAGACGGAGCCGCAGCGAAAGCGAGUCUGAAUAGGGCGUUUAGUACGUGGUCGUAGACCCGAAACCAGGUGAUCUACCCAUGUCCAGGGUGAAGUUCAGGUAACACUGAAUGGA
Molecule: ribosomal RNA, 255 nt
Filed under: Bacillus toyonensis
Lineage: Bacteria; Bacillati; Bacillota; Bacilli; Caryophanales; Bacillaceae
Description: partial 23S ribosomal RNA
Rfam family: Bacterial large subunit ribosomal RNA
Source: RNAcentral